AGGCAGUGAUGACUAGACGACCAUUCGAGGUUCUUAGCCUGGCCAGUUCAAUAGCAGCUGCUCUUCAGAUCUAACCGACUCGUGGUUCUUUAAUCUAUGUCUUUGGUUUUUGAGUUAUUAACACUCUGAGGAUUUUGUUUUUUCCCAUGAUUCUUUUGUUCAGAAGAGGGUAUUGUAGCAGCUAGCAAUCAUAUGUAUAAUGAAUAAAAGCUCAAAAAAUCGUCGAUUCGCUGCAAAACGUUACUGGUUUUUUUUAUCUAUCUAUGGAUCUAUAAGAAGGCAAUUAUUUAUGUUACAGUGGUUCAAGAACAAGGGGAAGAAACGAAAGCAAAUCAUCUGGUGUAAAGGAUGAAUUCACUUCAUUUUGUUGGUGGCCUUCAUAUAGCUUAAAAGCCUUUUUAGUGCUCGACCACUAUCGAUGGCCUCUCUAGCUCGAUCCAGGGCUGAAUAUAUGUCGUUCGAGUCGUCGCAUCCCAGCAAGUGGUCGAUCAUUCCAGCGUUCAAUACAAUACGAUCGUAUGCUG
Molecule: long non-coding RNA, 524 nt
Filed under: Linum usitatissimum (flax)
Lineage: Eukaryota; Viridiplantae; Streptophyta; Magnoliopsida; Malpighiales; Linaceae
Description: long non-coding RNA (LUSI_LNC001789)
Source: RNAcentral